UACAGAGGUCUCAAGCGUUGUUCGGAUUCAUUGGGCGUAAAGGGUGCGUAGGCGGCGCGGUAAGUCGGGUGUGAAAUCUCGGAGCUUAACUCCGAAACUGCAUUCGAUACUGCCGUGCUUGAGGACUGGAGAGGAGACUGGAAUUUACGGUGUAGCGGUGAAAUGCGUAGAUAUCAGGAGGAACACCGGUGGCGAAGGCGGGUCUCUGGGCCGAAAUUGACGCUGAGGAGCGAAAGCGUGGGGAGCAAACAGG
RNAcentral lists this ribosomal RNA (253 nucleotides) under uncultured bacterium. Its description in RNAcentral is "partial 16S ribosomal RNA". It matches the Rfam family "Bacterial small subunit ribosomal RNA", at positions 524 to 776 of the family's 1533-position model. The record is from RNAcentral.